CCUGGCAGGAAACAUGGCGCCUAAGCAGCUCAAACGCUCAAAAGUUUGGUUAUACUUUACGAGGACGGAUGACAACGGGGCAACUUGCAAUACUUGCAAAGUAGAUAUUUCAUUUAAGGGAGGAAACACUACGAAUAUGCAAAAGCAUUUGCUCACAAAACACACGAUAACCUUAAAUGAAUGUCGUGUUUUUAAUUCCGCUCCGGACUCGUGAAUCUCAACCCAGCAGCAGCGGUAACGUUUGCACGUCUUCUCCCGUUAAUGCGGCAGGUGACCAUGAUGAGAGAGACAGAGUCUGGCUGGCUCAGAUUCUGGCAGUUCUUGCUGCAGUCUACCGUUAGCGUCUCCUUUCAGGCCAGGAUAGACGAAUGUCACCGAGCAGUGACUAAGUUUGUGGUCAAAGGCUUGCACCCAUUUGCCACAGCAGAUGCCCCCGAGUUUUGUUUUUUUUCCUGGGGACCCUGUGACACCCCAUUGAAGAGCCGUAGGCUGUGGAUCUCUUCAGAUCUCACUGUUGGGUUUGAUCGUGAUCUCCAUGUCAGCGUGGAAAUCCUGCCAUGAGACGGAUGCUCCAUCACUGUUCAAUAGCUUCAGUAGCUGCCUGCAUGAGAUGCUCCACUUAGCCACCACUUCUCAGCUAUAAACCUACUUAAGCAGGGAAACAGGAUAAUUUAAUGUCCAUGUUGUACCACAGAGAGCCUGUUUUAAAUAUCAAUGCACUUGUAGUUGUGUAGUACAGCUAGAUCAGCACGAAUCAAUGCAAAGGUGCAGAAUCUGUACCUCGUAUUUUUUUUUUUAAUGUAAAAGUAAAUUACUCAAGAUUUUAUGUAGUCAUUAACAUUGUGUAAACUGUUAUUUUGGGUGUACUUUUUUUUCCUUCCUGAUUCAACGCUCGUUUUUAUUUUGACUGUAUAGUUUGAAAUCCUGACAGUAUUAUUCCACAUUUUAAGAUAAUAUGUUAACCGCUAAGUGGCUAACGACUCCUGUUUGCCUUAGUUUUCACUGUGAAAAAGCUCUUUUCCAGUAACUGUAGAAAAGAGCUGUUAGGCUUGAACUGAAGCUGAGUAAAGCUAAACACUACUGAAUUGUAACACUGUGUAUGGAAGCUCGUUUCUGAAGCUUUUGCAGAGUUAAUUCAACAUUUCUACUUCACUCUAAAAGAACCUGAAAUUUUAACUAAUGGAUGGCAGAAACAAGCUUCUACUGACUAUUGUUUGUACAAAUAGUUGAUCGUCUUGUCAAAACAGUGCCUACAGAUAAAGGAAAUGCACUUGAAUACCACAAGAGGACGUGAAUGUACCCCAUCACAUGAAGUGCACACACUGGGCUAAUUUAAACUCAUUAAAAGAGAGAAGUAGGCACGACUCGUGUAAGUUUGUUAAAGCCAAGGUUUGACUUCCAGUUUCUCCAGGUACCAAUUCCUUCUACACACUGUGCAACUUUGUUUUUAUUUUCAUGUCCAAAUGUUGGUGACGGUGUUUACUUUGGGUUUCAAAGAGUGGAUGACAUAAAAAUCUGUUGAAACACUUUCUACAUUUGGAGCCUCACACCAACGUGAUUAUUGCUUUGAUAAGGUGAAAUUUCACUGUGAUUGUACCACUUUGAGGGAAGCUGUAGUCAAUUUUUUAGUCAAAUUUUCUGAGAAUAAAGU
Molecule: long non-coding RNA, 1651 nt
Organism: Pelmatolapia mariae (spotted tilapia)
Lineage: Eukaryota; Metazoa; Chordata; Actinopteri; Cichliformes; Cichlidae
Exons: 4
Source: RefSeq, a predicted model, not a curated record